GCGGCGUGCUUAACACAUGCAAGUCGAACGGAAAGGCCCUGCUUUUGUGGGGUGCUCGAGUGGCGAACGGGUGAGUAACACGUGAGUAACCUGCCCUUGACUUUGGGAUAACUUCAGGAAACUGGGGCUAAUACCGGAUAGGAGCUCCUGCUGCAUGGUGGGGGUUGGAAAGUUUCGGCGGUUGGGGAUGGACUCGCGGCUUAUCAGCUUGUUGGUGGGGUAGUGGCUUACCAAGGCUUUGACGGGUAGCCGGCCUGAGAGGGUGACCGGCCACAUUGGGACUGAGAUACGGCCCAGACUCCUACGGGAGGCAGCAGUGGGGAGUAUUGCACAAUGGGCGGAAGCCUGAUGCAGCAACGCCGCGUGCGGGAUGACGGCCUUCGGGUUGUAAACCGCUUUCGCCUGUGACGAAGCGUGAGUGACGGUAAUGGGUAAAGAAGCACCGGCUAACUACGUGCCAGCAGCCGCGGUGAUACGUAGGGUGCGAGCGUUGUCCGGAUUUAUUGGGCGUAAAGGGCUCGUAGGUGGUUGAUCGCGUCGGAAGUGUAAUCUUGGGGCUUAACCCUGAGCGUGCUUUCGAUACGGGUUGACUUGAGGAAGGUAGGGGAGAAUGGAAUUCCUGGUGGAGCGGUGGAAUGCGCAGAUAUCAGGAGGAACACCAGUGGCGAAGGCGGUCCUCUGGGCCUUUCCUGACGCUGAGGAGCGAAAGCGUGGGGAGCGAACAGGCUUAGAUACCCUGGUAGUCCACGCUGUAAACGGUGGGUACUAGGUGUGGGGUCCAUUCCACGGGUUCCGUGCCGUAGCUAACGCUUUAAGUACCCCGCCUGGGGAGUACGGCCGCAAGGCUAAAACUCAAAGGAAUUGACGGGGCCCCGCACAAGCGGCGGAGCAUGCGGAUUAAUUCGAUGCAACGCGUAGAACCUUACCUGGGUUUGACAUGGAUCGGGAGUGCUCAGAGAUGGGUGUGCCUCUUUUGGGGUCGGUUCACAGGUGGUGCAUGGCUGUCGUCAGCUCGUGUCGUGAGAUGUUGGGUUAAGUCCCGCAACGAGCGCAACCCUUGUUCACUGUUGCCAGCACGUUAUGGUGGGGACUCAGUGGAGACCGCCGGGGUCAACUCGGAGGAAGGUGGGGAUGACGUCAAGUCAUCAUGCCCCUUAUGUCCAGGGCUUCACGCAUGCUACAAUGGCUGGUACAGAGAGUGGCGAGCCUGUGAGGGUGAGCGAAUCUCGGAAAGCCGGUCUCAGUUCGGAUUGGGGUCUGCAACUCGACCUCAUGAAGUCGGAGUCGCUAGUAAUCGCAGAUCAGCAACGCUGCGGUGAAUACGUUCCCGGGGCUUGUACACACCGCCCGUCAAGUCAUGAAAGUUGGUAACACCCGAAGCCGGUGGCCUAACCGAUGUGGGGGAGCCGUCGAAGGUGGGACUGGUGACUAGG
RNAcentral lists this ribosomal RNA (1433 nucleotides) under uncultured organism. RNAcentral describes it as "16S ribosomal RNA". It matches the Rfam family "Bacterial small subunit ribosomal RNA". The record is from RNAcentral.